AGGCAGCGAUAGGCAAAGCGCUGGUUUGUCCCGUUCAUCCACUCCCGCUCCAGGGGAGCGGGGCGGAUGGUCAUCUCAU
This 79-nucleotide small RNA is filed under the name Sinorhizobium meliloti 2011. RNAcentral's name for it is "putative ncRNA". Lineage: Bacteria; Pseudomonadati; Pseudomonadota; Alphaproteobacteria; Hyphomicrobiales; Rhizobiaceae. The record is from RNAcentral.